This 492-nucleotide ribosomal RNA is filed under the name uncultured bacterium. Its description in RNAcentral is "partial 16S ribosomal RNA". It matches the Rfam family "Bacterial small subunit ribosomal RNA", at positions 29 to 507 of the family's 1533-position model. The record is from RNAcentral.
AGUGAACGCUGGCGAUAGGCCUAACACAUGCAAGUCGAACGGCAGCACAGUAAGAGCUUGCUCUUACGGGUGGCGAGUGGCGGACGGGUGAGGAAUACAUCGGAAUCUACUUUUUCGUGGGGGAUAACGUAGGGAAACUUACGCUAAUACCGCAUACGACCUACGGGUGAAAGCAGGGGAUCUUCGGACCUUGCGCGAUUGAAUGAGCCGAUGUCGGAUUAGCUAGUUGGCGGGGUAAAGGCCCACCGAGGCGACGAUCCGUAGCUGGUCUGAGAGGAUGAUCAGCCACACUGGAACUGAGACACGGUCCAGACUCCUACGGGAGGCAGCAGUGGGGAAUAUUGGACAAUGGGCGCAAGCCUGAUCCAGCCAUACCGCGUGGGUGAAGAAGGCCUUCGGGUUGUAAAGCCCUUUUGUUGGGAAAGAAAAGCAGCAGGUUAAUACCCCGCUGUUCUGACGGUACCCAAAGAAUAAGCACCGGCUAACUUCGUG